CCUACGGGCCGCACCAGUGGGGAAUAUUGCACAAUGGGUGCAAGCCUGAUGCAGCCAUGCCGCGUGUGUGAAGAAGGCCUUCGGUUGUAAAGCACUUUCAGCGAGGAGGAAGGUGGUGAGCUUAAUACGCUCAUCAAUUGACGUUACUCGCAGAAGAAGCACCGGCUAACUCCGCGCCUGCAGCCGCGGUAAUACGGAGGGUGCAAGCGUUAAUCGGAAUUACUGGGCGUAAAGCGCACGCAGGCGGUUUGUUAAGUCAGAUGUGAAAUCCCCGGGCUCAACCUGGGAACUGCAUUUGAAACUGGCAAGCUAGAGUCUCGUAGAGGGGGGUAGAAUUCCAGGUGUAGCGGUGAAAUGCGUAGAGAUCUGGAGGAAUACCGGUGGCGUAGGCGGCCCCCUGGACGAAGACUGACGCACAGGUGCGAAAGCGUGGGGAGCAAACAGGAUUAGAUACCCUUGUAGUC
RNAcentral lists this ribosomal RNA (464 nucleotides) under uncultured bacterium. Its description in RNAcentral is "bacterial SSU rRNA". It matches the Rfam family "Bacterial small subunit ribosomal RNA", at positions 338 to 795 of the family's 1533-position model. The record is from RNAcentral.